GUGUAUGGUGAGGUAGGCAGUAGCCAGCGUGGGUGCGUGCUGAUAAGACGGGGGAAGAUAAAAAAAGAGAAAAAUGAUUAUGAAGAAAACUGCUACUGAGAAACACUAGCACGCACUGACAGAAAAAGAAAAAGAAACUAGAAAAAAAAACAGAAACCAGUGAAGUCUCUAUUGUGUGUUCUCUACCGUUUCAUCUGUGUACGGGAGGAGCGUGUGUAUGUGCGUGUAGGGGUCUCUCUGCGUGUGUGCGUAGUGACGUCAUCAUGUGGACGGUAAAGGAGGCAGACGCACACGGAUGAAGGAAGUGACGCCUCAGCACCAAAACCUUCCCUGAAAACUCCAACGCCAAGACAAAGAAAUCAAGAGAGAAACGCCACCAGGAACAACCACGUUACCCACUCGAAGCUGACCCCACCCUUCCUUCCCUUACCCUUCUUUACCCUUCCCCUUUCCUCCUGCAGUUGUCCUACCCAAACCUGACCUUACCUACCCUUCCCUUCCUCUCUUUCUCUUACCUAUUCCCUUUCUCCUGGUCUCUGUAGUCCCCCUCCCCGAAGCUGACCCCACCCUUCCUUCCCUUACCCUUCUUUACCCUUCCUCUUUCCUCCUGCAGUCGUCCUAUCCAAACCUGACCUUACCCUUCCUUCCCUUCCCCUUUUCUUCUUACCUAUUCCCUUACUCUUCGUCCCUGCACUUUCCUACCCAAACCUGACCUCACUCUUCCUUCCCUUCCCAUUCUUUUCUUCCUUUUUCCCUUCCUCCUUGUCCCUGCAGUAACCUACCCAGCCCUGACCUCUCCCUUCCUUCCCUUCCCCUUUACCCUUCCUCCCUCCCCUUCUCGUCCCGGCACUCCUCUUCCUCCCCAAAGCUGACCUCACCCUUCCUUCCCUUCUCUUCAUCUUCUCCCUUCCUCCCUCCUCCCCUCCGCACUCCCAUUUCCUCCCCAUCUUCGUCUCCGCAAGCCCACGCACACCCCUCGCAUUCGUUCCCAAGAUGGAGACGUUCGAGAAGAGAAGAAACACGAGGGAGAACGGGAUGAAACAAACUCCAGGGUACAACUUCGAAGAUAAGGGCGCGGGUCGGUGGUCUCAGUACCCCCGCAGACAGCGCAUGGAACAGGUGGAACUGGACACAGUGGGCAAGAUGGAAAACGAAGGAUACGUCGAGAGCCACAAGCGCGAAGAUGCCAACAACAGAAGCAACUUCGUCCCCAUGGGUUAUAACGCCGAAGGUGAGACAGAGAGAGAGAGAGAGAGAGUGAGAGAGAGA
Long non-coding RNA from Eriocheir sinensis (Chinese mitten crab), 1269 nucleotides. RefSeq lists it as uncharacterized. The transcript is spliced from 3 exons. The record is from RefSeq and is a predicted model, not a curated record. NCBI's taxonomy places the organism in Eukaryota, Metazoa, Arthropoda, Malacostraca, Decapoda, Varunidae.